GUUAAUUAGUGUCCUAAUGUCAAGGGCCCCUUAUGCACAUAUAAAACGUCAACGUCCUCAUGGGUAAACUUCGGUUGGUGAGGACUGGGAAGCAUAUAAUGAACAAUCCUACCAACCCACUCAAACUCAAUCGCAACCAGCAGAUCUUUUAAUCAAAAGAAGUAGAUUAAAUUCCACACUCUGGCAGUCUUUAUCCAUUCCGACAGGCCGCAAGUUCACUCUCCAUCCAGCUACAAUGCAACUUGACUAUGGUCAACAAAAGGUCUCAUUAAAACUACUCGUAUAUACUCACUCUGUUGUUCCAAAUUGGAGGUCGUUUUGACUUUUCUCGGUUCAUAGAUAUUAUUAUGCACCUAGACAUACACUAUAUCUAGAUGCAUAAUAAUAUCUAUGAAAAAAAACUAAAACGACCUACAAUUUGAAACAAACGGAGAAAGAGAGUAGUAUACAUUUGCAACCUCUCCGUUAAACAAGAGUAAAACUCAGAGCAGCAGAUGUUUAGCUGGAGACUACUCUUGUUUUACUACUUUGUGCGGUCGGCAUCUCCAGUGGAAGAAAUGAUAUCACCACCAAGCUGACUUUACAGCUCAUGGUCCUACCCCCAAUCUGGCAUCCACAUUGCAAACAUGACACCGUGGCAGAUGCCCUAUCAACCAUCAUGCACCAUGCACAGUGGCAAUAAUCGAACCCUCUUUCUGGAUGGGCUAUCCACAUUUGGAGCCCUGGCCUCUCAUUAGUCAUUGCUACAGCUAAAAGAUGACAUGCACG
RNAcentral lists this long non-coding RNA (768 nucleotides) under Setaria italica (foxtail millet). Its description in RNAcentral is "long non-coding RNA (SITA_LNC001607)". The record is from RNAcentral. Lineage: Eukaryota; Viridiplantae; Streptophyta; Magnoliopsida; Poales; Poaceae.